RNAcentral lists this ribosomal RNA (385 nucleotides) under uncultured bacterium. RNAcentral's name for it is "bacterial SSU rRNA". It matches the Rfam family "Bacterial small subunit ribosomal RNA", at positions 30 to 417 of the family's 1533-position model. The record is from RNAcentral.
AUUGAACGCUGGCGGCAUGCCUUACACAUGCAAGUCGAACGGUAACAGGUCUUCGGAUGCUGACGAGUGGCGAACGGGUGAGUAAUACAUCGGAACGUGCCCGAUCGUGGGGGAUAACGAAGCGAAAGCUAUGCUAAUACCGCAUACGAUCUACGGAUGAAAGCAGGGGACCGCAAGGCCUUGCGCGAACGGAGCGGCCGAUGGCAGAUUAGGUAGUUGGUGGGAUAAAAGCUUACCAAGCCGACGAUCUGUAGCUGGUCUGAGAGGACGACCAGCCACACUGGGACUGAGACACGGCUCAGACUCCUACGGGAGGCAGCAGUGGGGAAUUUUGGACAAUGGGCGAAAGCCUGAUCCAGCCAUGCCGCGUGCAGGAUGAAGGCCU